ACUGGAGGAACUGACCAAUCAGAAUUGGCAUUUUACUGGCAAAUCACCUCUAUUACUGAAGUACAUGCACUGAAUUGCUGUCUGGUAGCGCCCCCUACAGUACAGGGAGGAAUUACAAGUUCUGUACUACUCCUUACCUGUGCCAGGGUUAGCUGCUCCUUUGGACACCAGGACUGCAAGUAAAGCUUCUAGAGUUAUCCUGAAACAUAUACAUAGCAUCUGUAGCCUUUACGGGACUAGGACUGCAGCCAAAACCUGCUAGAGUUAUUCAGAAACACAUAUGGAG
Hyla sarda is the source of this 286-nucleotide long non-coding RNA. RefSeq lists it as uncharacterized. The record is from RefSeq and is a predicted model, not a curated record. NCBI's taxonomy places the organism in Eukaryota, Metazoa, Chordata, Amphibia, Anura, Hylidae. The transcript has 3 exons.